This 571-nucleotide ribosomal RNA is filed under the name uncultured bacterium. RNAcentral describes it as "partial 16S ribosomal RNA". It matches the Rfam family "Bacterial small subunit ribosomal RNA", at positions 355 to 919 of the family's 1533-position model. The record is from RNAcentral.
UGGGGAAUUUUGGACAAUGGGCGAAGGCCUGAUCCAGCAAUGCCGCGUGUGUGAAGAAGGCCUUCGGGUUGUAAAGCACUUUUGUCCGGAAAGAAAUCCUUGGCUCUAAUACAGUCGGGGGAUGACGGUACCGGAAGAAUAAGCACCGGCUAACUACGUGCCAGCAGCCGCGGUAAUACGUAGGGUGCAAGCGUUAAUCGGAAUUACUGGGCGUAAAGCGUGCGCAGGCGGUUUGCUAAGACCGAUGUGAAAUCCCCGGGCUCAACCUGGGAACUGCAUUGGUGACUGGCAGGCUAGAGUAUGGCAGAGGGGGGUAGAAUUCCACGUGUAGCAGUGAAAUGCGUAGAGAUGUGGAGGAAUACCGAUGGCGAAGGCAGCCCCCUGGGCCAAUACUGACGCUCAUGCACGAAAGCGUGGGGAGCAAACAGGAUUAGAUACCCUGGUAGUCCACGCCCUAAACGAUGUCAACUAGUUGUUGGGGAUUCAUUUCCUUAGUAACGUAGCUAACGCGUGAAGUUGACCGCCUGGGGAGUACGGUCGCAAGAUUAAAACUCAAAUGAAUUGACGGGGU